AGCGGUAAGGGCCUUCGGGGGUACGACGAGCGGCGAAACGGGGGUGGAGUAAACACGUGGGGUGAUCUGCCCCUGCACUUCGGGGAUAAAGCCCUGGGAAACUGGGUCUAAUACCCGGAUAUGACCUCCUAUCGCAUGGUGGGUGGUGGAAAGAUUUAUCGGUGCAGGAUGGGCCCGCGGCCUAUCAGCUUGUUGGUGGGGUAAUGGCCUACCAAGGCGACGACGGGUAGCCGACCUGAGAGGGUGACCGGCCACACUGGGACUGAGACACGGCCCAGACUCCUACGGGAGGCAGCAGUGGGGAAUAUUGCACAAUGGGCGAAAGCCUGAUGCAGCGACGCCGCGUGAGGGAUGACGGCCUUCGGGUUGUAAACCUCUUUCAGCAGGGACGAAGCGCAAGUGACGGUACCUGCAGAAGAAGCACCGGCUAACUACGUGCCAG
This 442-nucleotide ribosomal RNA is filed under the name uncultured Stenotrophomonas sp. Its description in RNAcentral is "bacterial SSU rRNA". It matches the Rfam family "Bacterial small subunit ribosomal RNA", at positions 65 to 511 of the family's 1533-position model. The record is from RNAcentral. Lineage: Bacteria; Pseudomonadati; Pseudomonadota; Gammaproteobacteria; Lysobacterales; Lysobacteraceae.